CACUUACACGCUCCCAUAUAAGGUCAAAUUUUGGAAUGUUCUGAAUUGGUUAGUACACUUGAAAUUUUCAAUUAUUUAUGAUUAUAUUCAAAUUGAAUUCACAUUCAUUAGCAGAGAAUCCUAAGAAUUGAACUUCGUAUUCUCUGGCAUUCACUGAAUUAUGAAACCAACCAAAAGAAAAAUAUUACCUACCCUUUCUUCGUGUAGUCGUAAAACCGCGUUCCUAAAGUCUAACCUGUAAUUUGGUUAAUAAUGUAUUGGUUCUUCCCCAAACCUACGGCAGGUUGAGAAAUUGGACAAAAAAAUAAACAUACUUAGACUGUUGAGAACCCAUCGAAUGUGAAGGUGAAAAGUAUGCAUACAAUCAAAGUGACACAGAGAGUGAACUGAAAAAAAAAACGAUGAAAAAUCUAUGAUUGCGAAAUUUGUAAAGAGGGGAAAAUGGUUGAGAGAGGGAGGAAACCAGGAAACAAGGUGAUUAUCUUAUAGCCCAACGAAAACAAUCGUCGGUUUCAGCGAAAAAAAGUACGAAAAUACUCUUGUGAAGGAUUUGGCUGAAGCAAAAAAGUUCUUCAAAUUCAGUUUGCAAAGCACUUUUUGAUAAAACUCAAAUGACUUAUGGAAGAGAGAAAUACUAGUUAAGUACUUUUGAAUAACGUUCCAGCACUAGUUUUCCCCCUCUUUAGUUUUUAUAAACUAAACUUUCAAGCAAAGAUGCAGCAUAGGAAAACUGUAGAUAUCCGACCUUGAAUUUUGUGAGACUCGUAGGUAGAAAAGAGAAGCCUAUUGUGUCGCCCAGCGGGCUUAAAGACUAGGAGACUCAGAGGAUUUAAAAUUAAAGGAUAGAAAAGAUAUUGAAAAUGUAGUACUCCAAAUCUUUUCAAAUUCGCACUUUGAAGCCGCGAUGAUAAAAUCUCGCAAAAUUCUUAACGUGGUCGAAAAUGACGAAAAAGCGAAUGAGAAUAAACGAACUGCAAUUAAAAUCCUAUUCGAUUUUAAUUUUUCAAUACUAUAACAAGGAUUACACUCAAAAAACACACUGCUACUACGUUCAGUAAAAUUGGUGUUGUUUUCAUGUAAGAUUGCACCUUGCUUAAAAAACCGAAGGCAUGACCCCAUGUAAGGACUUGCCCCAGGUAACGUAAUAUCGACUGAAUGCUACACCAAAUUUUAAGACGGUAAGAAGCAUUAUGAAAAUAUGACAUGCAAUCAUGAAAACCCGUAUAUAACUCACCACGGCAAAGUGCAUCUUAUAACUUCAUAGAAUUCACAG
This is a non-coding RNA of Schizosaccharomyces pombe (fission yeast), 1273 nucleotides long. The record is from the annotation of a GenBank genome assembly. Lineage: Eukaryota; Fungi; Ascomycota; Schizosaccharomycetes; Schizosaccharomycetales; Schizosaccharomycetaceae.